This 301-nucleotide ribosomal RNA is filed under the name uncultured bacterium. Its description in RNAcentral is "partial 16S ribosomal RNA". It matches the Rfam family "Bacterial small subunit ribosomal RNA", at positions 509 to 807 of the family's 1533-position model. The record is from RNAcentral.
CAGUAGCCGCGGGAAUACGUAGGGGGCGAGCGUUGUCCGAAGUUACUGGGCGUAAAGAGCGCGUAGGCUGGUCUUUAAGUGAGUGGUGAAAGGUUCGGGCUCAACCCGGACACUGCCUUUCAUACUGGGGACCUUGAGUGUGGGAGAGGCGAGUGGAAUGGUCGGUGUAGCGGUGAAAUGCGUAGAUAUCGAUCGGAACACCCAUGGCGAAGGCAGCUCGCUGGCCUAACACUGACGCUGAGGCGCGAAAGCGUGGGGAGCAAACAGGAUUAGAUACCCGCGUAGUCCCUGUCUCUUAUAC